Molecule: ribosomal RNA, 430 nt
Filed under: Chloroflexota bacterium
Lineage: Bacteria; Bacillati; Chloroflexota
Description: Chloroflexi bacterium partial 16S ribosomal RNA
Rfam family: Bacterial small subunit ribosomal RNA
Source: RNAcentral
UGGGGAAUAUUGCACAAUGGGCGCAAGCCUGAUGCAGCCAUGCCGCGUGUGUGAAGAAGGCCUUCGGGUUGUAAAGCACUUUCAGCGGGGAGGAAGGCGUUAAGGUUAAUAACCUUGGCGAUUGACGUUACCCGCAGAAGAAGCACCGGCUAACUCCGUGCCAGCAGCCGCGGUAAUACGGAGGGUGCAAGCGUUAAUCGGUAUUACUGGGCGUAAAGCGCACGCAGGCGGUUUGUUAAGUCAGAUGUGAAAUCCCCGGGCUCAACCUGGGAACUGCAUCUGAUACUGGCAAGCUUGAGUCUCGUAGAGGGGGGUAGAAUUCCAGGUGUAGCGGUGAAAUGCGUAGAGAUCUGGAGGAAUACCGGUGGCGAAGGCGGCCCCCUGGACGAAGACUGACGCUCAGGUGCGAAAGCGUGGGGAGCAAACAGGA